AGGAUAAACGCUGGCGGCAGGCUUAACACAUGCAAGUCGAACGCCCCGCAAGGGGAGUGGCAGACGGGUGAGUAACGCGUGGGAAUCUACCCAGUUCUACGGGAUAACACAGGGAAACUUGUGCUAAUACCGUAUACGCCCUACGGGGAAAGAUUUAUCGGGAUUGGAUGAGCCCGCGUUGGAUUAGCUAGUUGGUGGGGUAAUGGCCUACCAAGGCGACGAUCCAUAGCUGGUCUGAGAGGAUGAUCAGCCACACUGGGACUGAGACACGGCCCAGACUCCUACGGGAGGCAGCAGUGGGGAAUAUUGGACAAUGGGCGCAAGCCUGAUCCAGCCAUGCCGCGUGAGUGAUGAAGGCCUUAGGGUUGUAAAGCUCUUUCAGUGGGGAAGAUAAUGACGGUACCCACAGAAGAAGCCCCGGCUAACUUCGUGCCAGCAGCCGC
This 443-nucleotide ribosomal RNA is filed under the name uncultured bacterium. RNAcentral describes it as "SSU rRNA". It matches the Rfam family "Bacterial small subunit ribosomal RNA", at positions 26 to 518 of the family's 1533-position model. The record is from RNAcentral.